AAAACAUGAACAAACGCUGGCGGCGUGUCUUAAGCAUGCAAGUUGAGCGGCAAGGGGGAGCGAUCCCCCCUAGAGCGGCGGACUGGUGAGUAACACGUGGAUGAUCUACCCGAGGCAUGGGGAUAGUCACUAGAAAUAGUGGGUAAUACCGAAUACGGUGCGCAUCGUGAGGGUGCGCAAGAAAGGUGCUACGGCACCGGCCUAGGAUGAGUCUGCGUCCCAUUAGCUGGUUGGUGAGGUAAGAGCCCACCAAGGCGAUGAUGGGUAGCCGGCCUGAGAGGGUGUACGGCCACACUGGGACUGAGAUACGGCCCAGACUCCUACGGGAGGCAGCAGCUAAGAAUAUUCCGCAAUGGACGAAAGUCUGACGGAGCGACGCCGCGUGGAUGAAGAAGGCCGAAAGGUUGUAAAGUUCUUUUGUUGGGGAAGAAUAACCAUGGGAGGGAAUGCCCGUGGGAUGACAUGAACCGACGAAUAAGCCCCGGCUAACUACGUGCCAG
This 500-nucleotide ribosomal RNA is filed under the name uncultured bacterium. Its description in RNAcentral is "bacterial SSU rRNA". It matches the Rfam family "Bacterial small subunit ribosomal RNA", at positions 27 to 511 of the family's 1533-position model. The record is from RNAcentral.